CAAGAAACCUGUAAAAGCAGCAUUCAACUGCCAAAUUUGAGGACAGUGUACGCUUCAAAAAGCUUUUGAAGUGCCUCAAGUUCUUACUCCAGGGUUUAUGGUAUUGACGAUGCUUUGCUGAUCUUUUCCUGGCCCCAGCAGUAAGCCAUUUGGAAUCAAUAAAAACUGUUCACACUUGUUCCGCUUGGAAAGGCUAGCAGGGCUUCGACUUCAAGGUCAGUAAUAGAUUGUGUGUGUGGUCUGGGGUAGAGGAGGUAGGACUGAGGCAGGUUAGUAUAGGGAAAAAGGGAAAAAGCUGGGACCUGGCAGAGAACAUGGCCGUGACCCUUCUGGGGAAGGCUGCUACUAAGAACAAAGCCAGAAAGACCCCGCCGAGACCCUGGCCACGAGGUCCCAUUUGGAACUCUUCCUGGGGUCAAGGGGAACCCCCGGAUACCUCCAAACAAAAGGCCUCAUCGGUUGUCCCCCUGACAGCUAACAGGGGGCACCACUCAGAACAGCAAACAGCUGGGGCCCCUCCCCGACAGGAGGAAGGGGGAGUGGAAGGUCUUAAAAAGGCCUAACGUGGGAUCCUAUGAGCGCGUCUCACCCUGCAGAUGCCCACAGCCGUGUAAUAGGGUGUAUACUCUUUUCCUUUUCUUGUUUCUUUAUAAACUCUUUACUCCCUUUCCUACCCUAUGAUAUGCCCUUAAAUUCUUUUAUGCAAUAUAGCCAAGAACCUAGAAGCCCAGAAUCUAGAGCAUUCCUCGCAGGAUGGAGCGAGGAGGGUGGAGAAUGGUGCCGUGAUGGAGGGAGGAACAUGGAAGAUCCGAAUCUCACCAGACGCUACGGUGGCUUCAGUGUGUUUUAGGACCAAAAGACAACGACGACGGCGAUGAUGAUGAUGACGACGACGACGGUGGAGGAAGAGGAGGAGGUGAUCUCCUCAUUCAGUGGCAAAGACUGACAGGAAGAGGUUGUAACUGAAAUGGUGUUUUACUUCUUAGCAAAACUUCUGGUAAAAGGAUGCCAUGGCCAUUAGGAAGAGCUCAGAGGGAGUUGCAGCAGGCUAACAAAUCUCUCGAAUGCAACUUAAAUCAGAAAUUAUAAUGCACUAUCUUAUUUGUUAAACCCAGAAUGCAGAUAGGAGUUUCCAGGACUGAAUUGACCCAUUUGAUGCCAUUUAAACUCUUACCAGCAGAUGUCAGUGCAACCUAAUUAACUGACAUUUUUAGCAGUUGCAGUAAUUGCCAUAAACUGAAUGGUCUUAAAAUAGCAAAGUUUAAAACCUACUGUCAAUGUAUAUUUAAGUGGAGCUUUAGAAAAAAAUCAAUCCUUCAAAAGUUACUAAAUUAAAAUAGGCCCUUGCCUAUGUAAACCAUAUUACAUUAUUUUCAUCAUAAUUUACAUGACAACAGCAUUUCUCAGUGACAUAUAAAGGACAUGACCUUAAUUAAGUACAAAAUGCUGGUUUGUGCUGAAGUGUGAAACUGGCACAUUAGUUUUUUAAUUCACACAUCAUCGGCGCUAGAGCCAAAUGAAACUCAUUUGCCUCUGGGUGACAUAUUUACAACCCUUGGAGAAACACAUUAAUUCCUAAUGAAUCCCAAAACAUCAGUAGUGUGAUACCAUUUGUUAUCUAGAAUGCAGCCUGUUAGCAAAAGUUGAUAAUCUAAUGGCAGUACCAGCAGCACCUAUUAUGAACUGACCAUUACCCCAUAUAAUCUUUCUAACAACCCUGCAAUGUCCAUUACCAGUAGCACCCACAUUUUGAGGAUGCAACAACUGAUGUUCAGAAAGAUUAGGUAAUUUGCCAAAGCUAUGCAGCUAGUUUACAUGACAGACCUAAGAAGUUUCCAAAGCUGUAUUCCUCCCCUUAUGCAAGACUCCAUUCCUUACAAACAUACUAUUUUAUCAUCCUGCAGGGAAGAGGCUCUUGUUGCCUUUUCAUCACAUUUGGAGUUAAAGCUAUAUUGUUUACAAAUAUUUCUACAACAGUGAUAUGCUGUACAAGCAGAACAAGGUUAAAAUAAAGAUAAAAACAUGGAAUAUGUAUAUAACUGCUUUGCAUUCAGCAGUGUGUGAUCGCUAUACGAUGGGGUAUACUGCUCUUCACAUUUCCCUGGGUGCUUGGAUGUGCAUAUGCUAAGUUUUGGAAGUCCUCUUUAUUAUUUCUUUGAGUAUUCCUUCUGCUGUUUUCUUUCUUCUCUUCUGGGACUUCCAUAAUGUGUGUGUGUGUUGGCACGCUUGAUGGUGAUCCUUAGCUGUCUUAGACUAUUCUUACCAUUUAUAAUUCUUUUUUCUUUCUGCUCCUCAGCCUGACUCAUUUCAAUUAUCUUGUCUUUGAGUUGGCUGAUUCUUUCUUCUGCCGGCUCCAAUCUGCUGUUGGAUCCCUCCUGGGAGUUUUUCAUUAACAGUGAAGCCUUAAAUUAAACCGUGGACUAUAGUUAAUAGUACAAUUUUUUAAAAUGUGCUUUCACCAGUUGUAACAAAUGUACACAUC
Dasypus novemcinctus (nine-banded armadillo) is the source of this 2482-nucleotide long non-coding RNA. The record is from Ensembl. NCBI's taxonomy places the organism in Eukaryota, Metazoa, Chordata, Mammalia, Cingulata, Dasypodidae.